GACGAACGCUGGCGGCGUGCUUAACACAUGCAAGUCGAACGAGAAUCUGUGGAAAGAGGAUUCGUCCAAUUGAAGCAGAGGACAGUGGCGGACGGGUGAGUAACACGUGAGGAACCUGCCUUUCAGAGGGGGACAACAGUUGGAAACGACUGCUAAUACCGCAUGACAUAUAGAUGUCGCAUGGCAUUUAUAUCAAAGAUUUAUCGCUGAAAGAUGGCCUCGCGUCUGAUUAGCUAGUUGGUGAGGUAACGGCCCACCAAGGCGACGAUCAGUAGCCGGACUGAGAGGUUGAACGGCCACAUUGGGACUGAGAUACGGCCCAGACUCCUACGGGAGGCAGCAGUGGGGAAUAUUGGGCAAUGGGCGCAAGCCUGACCCAGCAACGCCGCGUGAAGGAAGAAGGCUUUCGGGUUGUAAACGUCUUUUGUCAGGACGAGUAGAAGACGGUACC
RNAcentral lists this ribosomal RNA (451 nucleotides) under uncultured bacterium. Its description in RNAcentral is "bacterial SSU rRNA". It matches the Rfam family "Bacterial small subunit ribosomal RNA", at positions 28 to 479 of the family's 1533-position model. The record is from RNAcentral.